UGCAACAUCCUUUUCUCCCCUUUGGCUUCAAGGGGACUGGGCUGCUGGGCCAGAGCUGACUGCUUCACCUUUCAGGACCUUCUGCUGUGCUCCCACAUUAAAAGGUUCAGACCUAGUAAUGAAGACACAGUUUCUGCAGUGAGGAACUGGAUGUUGACUUUCUAGAACUUCCUGAUGGAGGAAAUAGUAACACCUGAGAAUAAUGAGUGCCAAAGAAAAAAAGCUCUGCGUACUACAGCUGAGGCUUCUCCAAAGACUUUCUCAGCAGCUUCUGUCAUCGGUUUUCCUGCAGCCGGAAGACCAGCAUACCAGAUUUCACAACCAGUACCUCAGCAAGGCUCUUCUCCGAUUGUUCAGAGGCUUUCAUAUAGAAUGGCUUUUAAAGUUUGAUUGCUAUUCCUCCGACGUAAGUCAUACUAACACCCACCUGUGCAUCUGCACGAUGAACAAGGUUAUUGGACAGAAUGCUGUUUUGCAAAUUUUCAUAAUUCCCAACUCUGUGAUUGAAGAAAGUUGCUGUGGGAAUUUUCAUCUGAUGAAAGGUCAGUUGGGAAA
Molecule: non-coding RNA, 555 nt
Organism: Phalacrocorax carbo (great cormorant)
Lineage: Eukaryota; Metazoa; Chordata; Aves; Suliformes; Phalacrocoracidae
Source: RefSeq, a predicted model, not a curated record